UCAAACAAACAAUAAAAUUCUUAAAGAAAUAUUAGAAUGAUGACAAAUAUUACUCAAAUAUAUGUCAAUUCAACCUUAAUUUAAUUCUAGUUAAAAUCCUAAUGAAUUUCACUCAAACUUUAGACCAAACCUAAUUAAAUCUUAAAUCCUAAUAAAUCCUAAAUCCUAAGUCAAAUCCUAAACAAACCUUAAAUUAAACCCUAAAUCAAACCCUAUUUCAAACCCUAAACCCUAAACUAAACCUUAAAUCAAACCCUAAUCCAAACCCUAAAUCAAACCCUAACUAAAUCCUAAACCCUAAUCCAAACCCUAAUCCAAACCCUAAUCCAAAUCCUAACCAAAUCCUAAACCCUAACCAAAUCCUAAUCUAAUCCUAAAUCCUAACCAAACCCUAAUCCAAUCCUAAAACCUAAUCAAAUCUUAAACCCUAAUCCAAAACCUAAACCCUAACCAAACCCUAAAUCCUAAUCCAAAUCCUAAACUCUAAAUCAAAUCCUAAAUCGAACCCUAGCCAAACCCUAAUCCAAAUCCUAGAAAUUCCUAUGACAGAUUUAAACCUCAAUAUCUAAUGAAUAAACCGUUGAUCUUAAUUCAAAAUUUGCAUACUUCUUAAAAAUCAAGUUUAAAACAAGCACAAAAAAAUUUGAAAAGGAUCGGAGUUACAAAAUUGAUGAAAACCUCAAAAAUGUGUCCGGGUGUUAGAUGGCCUCCUUCUCCAAUCUUGAUGUCAACCUUCUAGAGCCAAUUUCUCUUCUUUGCACCGUUCGAUUGGUUUCAAAUUUCUCACGGACAUAGAAAAACAAGUCUAAUACCCUCUCACACAAGUUUUACUCCAAUCCAACUAGUAAAUUGCAUGAAAUCUUAAAAACCGUCACUAGACCUAAAAUUCUACUUUUUGAGACCUUGACUCGCUUAAACCUCAAUAUCUCUUACU
This 934-nucleotide long non-coding RNA is filed under the name Physcomitrium patens. RNAcentral's name for it is "long non-coding RNA (PPAT_LNC001639)". The record is from RNAcentral. Lineage: Eukaryota; Viridiplantae; Streptophyta; Bryopsida; Funariales; Funariaceae.